GAUGAACGCUGGCGGCGUGCCUAAUACAUGCAGUCGAGCGAACAGACGAGGAGCUUGCUCCUCUGACGUUAGCGGCGGACGGGUGAGUAACACGUGGAUAACCUACCUAUAAGACUGGGAUAACUUCGGGAAACCGGAGCUAAUACCGGAUAAUAUAUUGAACCGCAUGGUUCAAUAGUGAAAGACGGUUUUGCUGUCACUUAUAGAUGGAUCCGCGCCGCAUUAGCUAGUUGGUAAGGUAACGGCUUACCAAGGCGACGAUGCGUAGCCGACCUGAGAGGGUGAUCGGCCACACUGGAACUGAGACACGGUCCAGACUCCUACGGGAGGCAGCAGUAGGGAAUCUUCCGCAAUGGGCGAAAGCCUGACGGAGCAACGCCGCGUGAGUGAUGAAGGUCUUCGGAUCGUAAAACUCUGUUAUUAGGGAAGAACAAAUGUGUAAGUAACUAUGCACGUCUUGACGGUACCUAAUCAGAAAGCCACGGCUAACUACGUG
Molecule: ribosomal RNA, 496 nt
Filed under: uncultured bacterium
Lineage: Bacteria
Description: partial 16S ribosomal RNA
Rfam family: Bacterial small subunit ribosomal RNA
Source: RNAcentral